RNAcentral lists this long non-coding RNA (1117 nucleotides) under Marmota monax (woodchuck). The record is from RNAcentral. Lineage: Eukaryota; Metazoa; Chordata; Mammalia; Rodentia; Sciuridae.
CUGAGAAAGGUGGUGUUUUAGACGGAAGGACCUGCCCACUGGGAUGGCAUUCGCCCAGGGACCCCUGAGUCACCUGGGAGAGCAAGUGAGGGCCUAUCCUGUUGGGAAAUGAAAUUCUCAGAGACUUACAUAGUUGUAGGGAAAAUAAAUACUGGUCCCUGCCAUUGUAUAAAUGUGAAAGAAAGAAUGGAGAAAACACCCACAUGACAGAAACUGAGAAAUGCCAUGGGAGCUGGAUAACGUGUCCUCACAGCUCAUUUAUAUGUAACCUAGUCACUAACAAGAUUCUGAAUGUUGUUCUGAAUCAACCUGUACAGUUCUAAAAGUUCAGAUUAUGACCUGGGAGUCCGGAUCAGAAUCUCUCUGGUUGGUGUCAAAGGACAACUCUUCUCUUAAUUCACACUCUUCCUGGUUUCUGGUGAGCUGGCUGCAGGUGUAUCUUGCCACGAUGCAAUCUACCAGAAGUAAUGCCGUCCUGUUAUGUAGGCCUGAGCUCAUCUUAGAUGACCUUCCUCCAAAGUUGGAUAAUCAAGUUCAACUAUUUGAGAUUAUUUUUUAACCAACAUAAAACUGCACAUGAGCCAGGCGUGGUGGCACACACCUAUAAUCCCAGUGACUCAAGAGGCUGAGGCAGGUGGAUUGCAAGUUUGAGGUUAACCUCAGUAACUUGGUGAGAACCUGUCUCAAAAAAAAGGCACUGGGGAUGUGGCUCAGUGGUAAAGUGCCUCUGGUUUGGAUCCUGAGUACGAAAAAGGGGGAAAAAAACAUGAAAUAUCUGCAUCCAAAUAAGUGUCUCCUGAUCUAUAUGCAUAACGUCAUUUAUCUAUUCAAUAAAUAUUGACAAACUGUGAUGCUUUGUACAGGCCUCUGCAUCACAACUGAUGUUAACCAUAAAAAGUGAGGGAAAAAGUUCUGAUUUUAGCUCAGAUUCAUCCUGAGAAAAGAAGGAACAGUACAUAGAGAUCCUGAGGGAACACCAAGAAGGGUGCAAUGCUAGGCUCAGGUGAGACAGACAUUGUAUAGGUGUGAACACAUAGGUAUUCAACCCUGGAGCAUGCAUCAGACUUCAUUUUUCCCUAUAAGGUGACUUUGUUAGAGCAGGUGACGGAUUCCCCAG